AAAAUUCUCAAUAAAUAAGCCUCGUUGCUAUUUAUAUCCAGUAAGUAAAACUCCGGGAUACCAGCAUUAAGUAUUUUCUACCUGGUAACAAAAAAACACAUAAAACCAAAUCAGAGCCGCCAAAAUGGAAGCCUAUCAUAAUUUAGUUAAGAAUCCAAAUCACCGCCAUUAUUCCACAAUGAACUGAUCAAAGUUUCGACAUACCAGUCAUAAAGUUUUUCAUUUCUCUCAUGCAAAAAUUAAAAUAGCUCAACAAAUGAAGUCAGAACCUGAACAAUGGAAAUUUGUCAAGAAAUAAGUGACAAGAACUUAUCUUAUUAGCGGCAUGAUUUAAUAAUCAAUUGAUCACUUUCAUAUGAAUUAUAAAUAUUUUAGAGCAUGUUCUUCCUAUACAUAAUAGUAGAGUUGGUACAAAAUUUAGUAACCUUUUAAAAUCUUCAAGUAUCAAUCCUGAAAUUCAAUAGUACUACCUAACAACCCGAACUUCUUUUCGGAAGUGAUAUACAUACGGAGGGAGUACUACCUAAUAAAUUUGAAGUAGUAUACAAAUUCAGCCUAUGUGCUAAGAUUUUUUUUCUGCACAUCGCCCUGGUUCACUUUCAGUUACACUCAUGGUUAGGCCGCCAUCAACCGGC
Molecule: long non-coding RNA, 635 nt
Filed under: Triticum aestivum (bread wheat)
Lineage: Eukaryota; Viridiplantae; Streptophyta; Magnoliopsida; Poales; Poaceae
Description: long non-coding RNA (TAES_LNC020312)
Source: RNAcentral